Molecule: unclassified non-coding RNA, 232 nt
Filed under: Hevea brasiliensis (rubber tree)
Lineage: Eukaryota; Viridiplantae; Streptophyta; Magnoliopsida; Malpighiales; Euphorbiaceae
Source: RNAcentral
UGAUCGAGAAUUGCGAGUCAUAGAUCCACCAGAAUGCGAUCGCCGACAAAACGGUGGGCACGAUGAACGGAAUCAGCACGGCGGCGCGGAUCAGCGCCUUGAACGGCAUGNNNNNNNGAGCAACAGCGCGAGAUAAAGCCCGAGCGCGAAUUUGAUGGCGCUUGCGACUGUCGUGUAGACGAGCGUGUUGAACACCGACAGCCAGAAGACGCCGUCUUCCCACAGCCACUCA